Molecule: ribosomal RNA, 338 nt
Filed under: uncultured soil bacterium
Lineage: Bacteria
Description: bacterial SSU rRNA
Rfam family: Bacterial small subunit ribosomal RNA
Source: RNAcentral
AGAUUGAACGCUGGCGGCAGGCCUAACACAUGCAAGUCGAGCGGUAGAGAGGUGCUUGCACCUCUUGAGAGCGGCGGACGGGUGAGUAAUGCCUAGGAAUCUGCCUAGUGGUGGGGGAUAACGUUCGGAAACGGACGCUAAUACCGCAUACGUCCUACGGGAGAAAGCGGGGGACCUUCGGGCCUCGCGCCAUUAGAUGAGCCUAGGUCGGAUUAGCUAGUUGGUGAGGUAAUGGCUCACCAAGGCGACGAUCCGUAACUGGUCUGAGAGGAUGAUCAGUCACACUGGAACUGAGACACGGUCCAGACUCCUACGGGAGGCAGCAGUGGGGAAUAGUU